GAUGAACGCUGGCGGCGUGCCUAAUACAUGCAAGUCGAGCGAACAGACGAGGAGCUUGCUCCUCUGACGUUAGCGGCGGACGGGUGAGUAACACGUGGAUAACCUACCUAUAAGACUGGGAUAACUUCGGGAAACCGGAGCUAAUACCGGAUAACAUGUUGAACCGCAUGGUUCAACAGUGAAAGACGGUCUUGCUGUCACUUAUAGAUGGAUCCGCGCCGCAUUAGCUAGUUGGUAAGGUAACGGCUUACCAAGGCAACGAUGCGUAACCGACCUGAGAGGGUGAUCGGCCACACUGGAACUGAGACACGGUCCAGACUCCUACGGGAGGCAGCAGUAGGGAAUCUUCCGCAAUGGGCGAAAGCCUGACGGAGCAACGCCGCGUGAGUGAAGAAGGUCUUCGGAUCGUAAAACUCUGUUAUUAGGGAAGAACAAAUGUGUAAGUAACUAUGCACGUCUUGACGGUACCUAAUCAGAAAGCCACGGCUAACUACGUG
Molecule: ribosomal RNA, 497 nt
Filed under: uncultured bacterium
Lineage: Bacteria
Description: partial 16S ribosomal RNA
Rfam family: Bacterial small subunit ribosomal RNA
Source: RNAcentral